RNAcentral lists this ribosomal RNA (253 nucleotides) under uncultured bacterium. RNAcentral's name for it is "partial 16S ribosomal RNA". It matches the Rfam family "Bacterial small subunit ribosomal RNA", at positions 524 to 776 of the family's 1533-position model. The record is from RNAcentral.
UACGGAGGGUGCAAGCGUUAUCCGGAUUCACUGGGUUUAAAGGGUGCGUAGGAGGGCAGGUAAGUCAGUGGUGAAAUCCCCAAGCUUAACUUGGGAACUGCCAUUGAUACUAUCUGUCUUGAAUACCGUGGAGAUGAGCGGAAUAUGUCAUGUAGCGGUGAAAUGCUUAGAUAUGACAUAGAACACCAAUUGCGAAGGCAGCUUACUAGCCGAAUAUUGACACUGAGGCACGAAAGCGUGGGGAGCAAACAGG